GACAUAAUUCCUUUCACACUAUUUUUUUUAUAAUGAUUUUCUUUCUCGAAAUUUGCAGGGAGAGCAUAGACGUGGCAGGCAUGGUUGAUGGUGGGUACAAUUUAGUGGCCAAUUAUGAGGAUCAUGAAGGGCCUUGCGGAUGCUUAUUCCGGAGAUGAGCUUGUGCCAUCGGAGCUGCGUGGUGAAUAUGUGCGAGGACGUGCUAGCUAAACAUGGGAGAGAACAGAAAGAAGAGCUUGUUAUCUUUUGGACACCGCUGGACUUCAUUGAGGAGACCUAUUCCUCUGAUGGGCUUGAGUUACUAUCUCUGGUCACUGUAACAAAGCCAGUCAUGGUAUGAUUUAGAUCGCUCAGUUUUGCCAGUGUUUGUCUUCUAGACUUAUUAUUAGAGAGACUUCUCAAUGUACUAGCAUGUUUUCUGAAGCUGCUGUAUUAGGGGCUAUCGAGCAAAAACAUUUGUAGCAGGGACUACCAGACAGCUAUUGCACGUUUGUA
Molecule: RNA transcript, 495 nt
Organism: Eucalyptus grandis
Lineage: Eukaryota; Viridiplantae; Streptophyta; Magnoliopsida; Myrtales; Myrtaceae
Gene name: pentatricopeptide repeat-containing protein At5g24830-like
Exons: 2
Source: RefSeq, a predicted model, not a curated record